ACUUGUGUGUGUGCUGCUUCAGGUGGGCACAGGACCUGCAUGAGGGACCUAACAGCGCCAGAAGAAGCUGCAGCCCCCAGCACUGGGACCUGGGUGGGGUGGGGCUCUCCCGCUGUCACUCCUGCAAGUCUCCUGCAAGUGUAUAGCACCCCGUGCUCUUUGUCCCCACAGCCAACAUGGCAGCAACCGUGGGCGGCUUCCUUUACUUCUUCACCUACACCCCUUACUUUUUCGUGGCUCCUCGGUACAACUGGAUGACACUGAGUCAGAAGCUCUUGUCCUGCCUCCUAUCUAAUGUUGCCAUGGCGAUGGGAGCCCAGCUCAUCGGAAAAUUUGAAGCCAAAGG
RNAcentral lists this long non-coding RNA (346 nucleotides) under Rattus norvegicus (Norway rat). RNAcentral describes it as "long non-coding RNA NONRATT004070". Lineage: Eukaryota; Metazoa; Chordata; Mammalia; Rodentia; Muridae. The record is from RNAcentral.